GUAGGUGAACCUGCGGAAGGAUCAUUACUGAGUUUUUUUUGAACGGGUUGUAGCUGGCCUUUUGUAAGGGCAUGUGCACGCCUGGCUCAUUCACACUCUCUCACCUCUGUGCACUAUUUGUAAGAACACAACAAAGGUUACAGACCGCCAGCCGGUUGAAGGCCUUUAUUGUUUCUUAUGUUUUAUUACAAACGCUCUAGUAUCAGAAUGUUUAUCUUGCGUAAUGCAUUAUUACAAUAAUAUACAACUUUCAGCAACGGAUCUCUUGGCUCUC
RNAcentral lists this unclassified non-coding RNA (274 nucleotides) under rhizosphere metagenome. Its description in RNAcentral is "partial ribosomal RNA internal transcribed spacer region". The record is from RNAcentral.